RNAcentral lists this ribosomal RNA (873 nucleotides) under Hydnoporia tabacina. RNAcentral's name for it is "eukaryotic LSU rRNA". It matches the Rfam family "Eukaryotic large subunit ribosomal RNA", at positions 65 to 915 of the family's 3401-position model. Lineage: Eukaryota; Fungi; Basidiomycota; Agaricomycetes; Hymenochaetales; Hymenochaetaceae. The record is from RNAcentral.
CUAACAAGGAUUCCCCUAGUAACUGCGAGUGAAGCGGGAAAAGCUCAAAUUUAAAAUCUGGCGUCCUUUGGGCGUCCGAGUUGUAAUCUGGAGAAGCGUUUUCCGCGUUGGACCGUGUACAAGUCUCCUGGAACGGAGCGUCAUANAGGGUGAGAAUCCCGUCCAUGACACGGACUACCAAUGCUUUGUGAUACGCUCUCGAAGAGUCGAGUUGUUUGGGAAUGCAGCUCAAAAUGGGUGGUAAAUUCCAUCUAAAGCUAAAUAUUGGCGAGAGACCGAUAGCGAACAAGUACCGUGAGGGAAAGAUGAAAAGCACUUUGGAAAGAGAGUUAAACAGUACGUGAAAUUGUUGAAAGGGAAACGCUUGAAGUCAGUCGCGUCUUGCGGAACUCAGCCUUACUUCGGUUUGGUGUACUUUCCGUUUGACGGGUCAACAUCAAUUUUGAUCGGUAGAAAAAGCUUGAGGAAAGGUAGCGUUGUUUCGGCGACGUGUUAUAGUCUUCUUGCGUAUAUAUCGGUUGGGAUUGAGGACCGCAGCACGCCUUUAAUGGCCGGGGGUUCGCCCUACGUAUCGUGCUUAGGAUGUUGGCAUAAUGGCUUUAAGCGACCCGUCUUGAAACACGGACCAAGGAGUCUAACAUGCUUGCGAGUGUUCGGGUGGAAAACCCUUGCGCGUAAUGAAAGUGAAAGUUGGGAACCUCCGCAAGGGGGUGCACCGACGCCCGGCCCUGAAGUUCUCUGACGGUGCUGCGGUAGAGCACGUAUGUUGGGACCCGAAAGAUGGUGAACUAUGCCUGAAUAGGGCGAAGCCAGAGGAAACUCUGGUGGAGGCUCGUAGCGAUUCUGACGUGCAAAUCGAUCGUCAAAUUUGGG